RNAcentral lists this long non-coding RNA (629 nucleotides) under Monodelphis domestica (gray short-tailed opossum). Its description in RNAcentral is "lncRNA (ENSMODG00000046053.1)". Lineage: Eukaryota; Metazoa; Chordata; Mammalia; Didelphimorphia; Didelphidae. The record is from RNAcentral.
AAGAAGGCAGUGGUAAGAGAAACUCAAUAAGAGAAUAAAUGGGUAUCAUGGAGAUCUGGUUGGAUGAGACUCACCAUUAGAAUUUGGCUUCAGAUUGGAUUCAAAAUGAAUGGAAUAAAUGCAGAGAUAAAUGUUUAGGUCUUACAAGUAGUUUAGAGAUCAUUGAUUCUAACAUUCACUUUGAAUAUACAGAAAUUAAGAGAAGAGGAUUUAAGCGGCUUGCACAAGAUCAUACAGGCAGUAAAGGUCUCCUAGACUUGGCAGUGUCACUUACUGCUCUGCCUCCUGCUGCAGGACUAUCAGCUAAUGUCUGAUUUAUAUUUGGAACCAACUGUCUCUGCAAAGUUGAGGAGCCAUCAAAGUUCAGUGGGAAGACCAAAGUCGGAGACUGAAAGAUAGAGCAGGAUACAGUGGAUGACCUUGACUUCCUCAACAUCUGUCCAAGCUCUAUGCAUUCCAUAUUACCCAAUCUUGCUGCUUUUGUGGCCAUUAGAACAAAUGAUUAUCACUGGCUCCUUCUGCUGGGAAACUGAUGCUUCAACCAAGGGAGAGGAUCAAUGAAGAAGUCAAAAGAAAAAAAGCUAUUGCAAGGCAUUUCAUCAAAUCUCUUUGUAGAAUGUAAGUAGGAA